AUGAUUGACUAUGGCGGCCGCCUGAGACCGGCGGCCAGAGGGCUCGGCCGGGCUCUAUCCUGCAGCCCGCGGCAGGUGCUGCUGUCCCAUGAUUCACGAGGAACCUGGCCAUGGUGGCUGGUCCCCACCCCAGCUAUGGAUGAGGUCACCUUCAAAAGUGACACUGUGCUCUCAGAUGUCCACCUCUACACCCCGAACCACAGGCACCUCAUGGUGCGGCUGAAUGGCAUGGGGCAGCCCGUUUUCCUGUCCCAGCUCAAGCUUCUGUGGAACCGAGACUCUCAGACAGACUCAGGGGUUGACGGUGGCCGUCAUGCCAUGGGCCCCACAGAGGAAAUGCCUCCCUCUGGGCCGGGCAGUGCCAGACCCCCUCUGGGGAGUGGCUGCAGGAGUGACGCCACCAUCCAGGAGGGGGUGGGAGCUCGGCUGGACGAGGACGGAGAUUUGGACGUUGAGAGGAGACCACGGGCAGCUUCGGACCCUGAGCCAGUGGGGCCUCCGAGAGACAAGGUGUGGCGGGGCGCCCUGCUCCUGGCUGACUACAUCCUGUUCCAACGGGACCUCUUCCAGGGACGCACCGUGCUGGAGCUCGGGGCGGGCACGGGGCUGGCCAGCAUUAUGGCAGCCACCGUGGCACGUACCGUUUACUGCACAGAUGUCGGUACAGAUCUCUUGGCCAUGUGCCAGAGAAACAUUGCCCUCAACGGCCACCUGACUGCUGCUGGAGGUGGUGUAGUUAAGGUCAAAGAACUGGACUGGCUCAAAGACGACCUGUGCACAGACCCGGAGGUCCCCUUCAGCGGGUCGCAGGAGGACGUCUCCGACCUCUACAGGCACACCACCAUCCUGCUCGCAGCCGAAGUGUUUUACGAUGAUGACCUAACCGACGCUCUGUUUAAAACGCUGUCCCGCCUCGUUCACAAACUGAAAAACGCCUGCACGGCCAUUCUGUCUGUGGAGAAGAGGCUGAACUUCACGCUCAGACACCUGGACGUCACGUGUGAAGCCUACGACCACUUCCGCUCCUGGCUGCAGCGGCUGGAGAGGCUUGCGGACGGCCGGCUGCGCUUCGUGGUGGAGCCGGUUUCUGAGCAGCUGACAGAGGAGGAAUAA
Non-coding RNA from Leptonychotes weddellii (Weddell seal), 1113 nucleotides. Lineage: Eukaryota; Metazoa; Chordata; Mammalia; Carnivora; Phocidae. The record is from RefSeq and is a predicted model, not a curated record.